Molecule: ribosomal RNA, 251 nt
Filed under: uncultured prokaryote
Description: partial 16S rRNA
Rfam family: Bacterial small subunit ribosomal RNA
Source: RNAcentral
ACGGAGGGAGAUAGCGUUGUUCGGAAUUACUGGGCGUAAAGCGCAAGUAGGCGGCUUUGUAAGUCAGAGGUGAAAGCAUGGAGCUAAACUCCAGAACUGACUUUGAGACUGCAUCGCUUGAAUCCAGGAGAGGUGAGUGGAAUUCCGAGUGUAGAGGUGAAAUUCGUAGAUAUUCUGAAGAGCACCAGUGGCGAAGGCGUCUCACUGGACUGGUAUUGACGCUGAGGUGCGAAAGCGUGGGGAGCAAACAG